Molecule: long non-coding RNA, 360 nt
Organism: Caretta caretta (loggerhead turtle)
Lineage: Eukaryota; Metazoa; Chordata; Testudines; Cheloniidae
Source: RefSeq, a predicted model, not a curated record
CCACCCUGACAGAUUUCAGCCACCACAAACAGCUGACAGCUGCGAAGCUUUAAAGUGAGGAGAAUGAAGGCAGAGACAAUAAAGGAGCAGGUCAACAAGAACUGGCCUACUAUUGAAAAUGGAUGGAAAAAUAUUAUUAUUAUAGAAGCUGGAGAAGUAAGAGUCUAUUAAUCCACUCUCUGCCCAAGCAGGAUUGUUCCCUAAAGUACAUUCUCGAGUACUUCGUCCAUUAUAGAUUCAAAUGACUCAAGUGAUUCCCUAGUUUUAUUACCAACAAUUAUAUUGACCCAGAUGUUGGUAACUUUAUUGAUGACCAUAAUGUUUAAGCUCAGCUAUUUUUGAAUAAAUUUUGAUUUCCUC